RNAcentral lists this ribosomal RNA (468 nucleotides) under uncultured bacterium. RNAcentral describes it as "partial 16S ribosomal RNA". It matches the Rfam family "Bacterial small subunit ribosomal RNA", at positions 28 to 507 of the family's 1533-position model. The record is from RNAcentral.
AACGAACGCUGGCGGCGUGCUUAACACAUGCAAGUCGAACGGAAAGGCCCUGCUUUUGUGGGGUGCUCGAGUGGCGAACGGGUGAGUAACACGUGAGUAACCUGCCCUUGACUUUGGGAUAACUUCAGGAAACUGGGGCUAAUACCGGAUAGGAGCUCCUGCUGCAUGGUGGGGGUGGGAAAGUUUCGGCGGUUGGGGAUGGACUCGCGGCUUAUCAGCUUGUUGGUGGGGUAGUGGCUUACCAAGGCUUUGACGGGUAGCCGGCCUGAGAGGGUGACCGGCCACAUUGGGACUGAGAUACGGCCCAGACUCCUACGGGAGGCAGCAGUGGGGAAUAGUGCACAAUGGGCGGAAGCCUGAUGCAGCAACGCCGCGUGCGGGAUGACGGCCUUCGGGUUGUAAACCGCUUUCGCCUGUGACGAAGCGUGAGUGACGGUAAUGGGUAAAGAAGCACCGGCUAACUACGUG